Molecule: ribosomal RNA, 423 nt
Filed under: uncultured bacterium
Lineage: Bacteria
Description: bacterial SSU rRNA
Rfam family: Bacterial small subunit ribosomal RNA
Source: RNAcentral
UAGGGAAUAUUGGGCAAUGGAGGCAACUCUGACCCAGCCAUGCCGCGUGAAGGAUUAAAGUCCUCUGGAUUGUAAACUUCUUUUAUAAGGGAAGAAAUUCUUGAAUUCAUUUAAGAUUGACGGUACCUUAAGAAUAAGCACCGGCUAACUCCGUGCCAGCAGCCGCGGUAAUACGGAGGGUGCAAGCGUUAUCCGGAUUCACUGGGUUUAAAGGGAGCGUAGGUGGUUUAGUAAGUCAGUGGUGAAAGCCCCGUGCUUAACUUGGGAAUUGCCAUUGAUACUGCUAAUCUUGAGAAUGUUUGAAGUGGACGGAAUAUGGCAUGUAGCGGUGAAAUGCUUAGAUAUGCCAUAGAACACCGAUUGUGAAGACAGUUCACUAAGCCAUAUCUGACACUGAGGCUCGAAAGCGUGGGGAGCGAACAG